Molecule: long non-coding RNA, 561 nt
Organism: Corticium candelabrum
Lineage: Eukaryota; Metazoa; Porifera; Homoscleromorpha; Homosclerophorida; Plakinidae
Exons: 4
Source: RefSeq, a predicted model, not a curated record
CCGGAUAAGUUUAACUUGCACGUGCACGGUAGACCAUUCUCACGUGCACAAAUGGCUAGUAGUUCGAAAUGUGAGGUGCUAUGCUGACAGAUCGUGGGAAUUGCGCUUUCUCUGCGAGCAGUUACCACACUCAAAAUCGACUUUCUCGAGAAACAAUUGACUCCAGAAAAGCUUCACGUGAUGCAGUUAUUAUACAAGAUGGCAGAAAUUCUAGAUGAGUAACCUGGAUAACUUCCAUUAUUGCACCUGCCAGAAGACGAAUUACAUGUGUGGUUUAGGCAUAAGUCACCUAUGUUUCGAUUAAUUAACAUUUCUGGAUCUCGAUAAGGUUUGAAUUUUUAGUUCAUCUUUCGAGAUUCUCCAGAGUUACACAGAAAGCGCCUUUUCUUCAGGGAGCUGCCGUGACCAAUUUUCUGAAGAAAUGAGUGCAACUAAGUUUGUAUAGCUGCAUUGCAUUUUGACUCGUAGUGCUUUUAGCUAUUGUACUUUGUACAUUUGAUAGAUUAUUUGCAGGAUCUUUUGGGAGACCAGCCGUGCUGAAAGUGAUUUCUGAAUAGAUUU